UGAAUACGAGAUGCUACGGCGUCGAAGCAGUCUAUGUCAUACUUCCAAGAAAAGCUUGCACUGUCAUAAACAAAUAAUGCCUGUACCAUAACCGACACAGGUGGGUAGGUAGAGUAUACUAAGGGGCGCGAGAUAACUCUCUCUAAGGAACUCGGCAAAAUGACUCCGUAACUUCGGGAGAAGGAGUGCCUUAUUUAUAAGGUUGCAAUAACAAGAUCCAAGCAACUGUUUACCAAAAACACAGGUCUCCGCUAAGUCGUAAGACGAUGUAUGGGGGCUGACGCCUGCCCAGUGCCAGAAGGUUAAAGAAGUUGGUUAGCAUCCGCGAAGCUGAUAACUGAAGCCCUGGUGAACGGCGGCCGUAACAAUAACGGUCCUAAGGUAGCGAAAUUCCUUGUCGGGUAAGUUCCGACCCGCACGAAAGGCGUAAUGAUUUGGAUACUGUCUCGGAGAGGGGCUCGGUGAAAUAGACUUGUCUGUGAAGAUGCGGACUACCUGCACCAGGACAGAAAGACCCUAUGAAGCUUUACUGUAACCUGAAAUUGAAAUUGGACUUUACUUGCGCAGUAUAGGUGGGAGGCGUUGAGAAUAUUCUUGCGGGAUUAUUGGAGCCAUCAGUGAGAUACCACUCUUGUAAUGUUAGAUUUCUAACUUUGUAUCAUUAUCUGGUCAAAGAACAGUUUCAGGCGGGCAGUUUGACUGGGGCGGUCGCCUCCUAAACGGUAACGGAGGCGCACAAAGGUUUCCUCUGAACGGGUAGAAAUCGUAUCUAGAGUGUAAAGGCAUAAGGAAGCUUGACUGUGAGACCUACAAGUCGAGCAGGGACGAAAGUCGGUCUUAGUGAUCUGACGGUGCUGAGUGGAAAGGCCGUCACUCAACGGAUAAAAGUUACUCUAGGAUAACAGGCUGAUCUCCCCCAAGAGUUCACAUCGACGGGGAGGUUUGGCACCUCGAUGUCGGCUCAUCGCAUCCUAGGGCGGUAGUACGUCCCAAGGGUUGGGCUGUUCGCCCAUGAAAGCGGUACGCGAGCUGGGUUCAGAACGUCGUGAGACAGUUCGGUCCAUAUCCGGUGUAGGCGUUAGAAUAUUGAGAGGAGCCUUCUUUAGUACGAGAGGACCGAGUAGGACAUACCUCUGGUGUACCAGUUAUCGUGCCAACGGUAAACGCUGGGUAGCUAUGUGUGGAGUGGAUAACCGCUGAAAGCAUCUAAGUGGGAAGCCCACCUCAAGAUAAGUAUUCUCA
This 1242-nucleotide ribosomal RNA is filed under the name metagenome. RNAcentral's name for it is "bacterial LSU rRNA". It matches the Rfam family "Bacterial large subunit ribosomal RNA", at positions 1564 to 2816 of the family's 2925-position model. The record is from RNAcentral.